This 492-nucleotide ribosomal RNA is filed under the name uncultured bacterium. Its description in RNAcentral is "partial 16S ribosomal RNA". It matches the Rfam family "Bacterial small subunit ribosomal RNA", at positions 29 to 507 of the family's 1533-position model. The record is from RNAcentral.
AGUGAACGCUGGCGAUAGGCCUAACACAUGCAAGUCGAACGGCAGCACAGUAAGAGCUUGCUCUUACGGGUGGCGAGAGGCGGACGGGUGAGGAAUACAUCGGAAUCUACUUUUUCGUGGGGGAUAACGUAGGGAAACUUACGCUAAUACCGCAUACGACCUACGGGUGAAAGCAGGGGAUCUUCGGACCUUGCGCGAUUGAAUGAGCCGAUGUCGGAUUAGCUAGUUGGCGGGGUAAAGGCCCACCAAGGCGACGAUCCGUAGCUGGUCUGAGAGGAUGAUCAGCCACACUGGAACUGAGACACGGUCCAGACUCCUACGGGAGGCAGCAGUGGGGAAUAUUGGACAAUGGGCGCAAGCCUGAUCCAGCCAUACCGCGUGGGUGAAGAAGGCCUUCGGGUUGUAAAGCCCUUUUGUUGGGAAAGAAAAGCAGCAGGUUAAUACCCCGCUGUUCUGACGGUACCCAAAGAAUAAGCACCGGCUAACUUCGUG